GGGAGGCUGAACCAGCCAAGUCGCGUGAGGGAAGACGGCCCUACGGGUUGUAAACCUCUUUUGUCAGGGAGCAAGGUGCAGGUCGGGACCUGCUGUGAGAGUACCUGAAGAAAAAGCAUCGGCUAACUCCGUGCCAGCAGCCGCGGUAAUACGGAGGAUGCGAGCGUUAUCCGGAUUUAUUGGGUUUAAAGGGUGCGCAGGCGGAGGCACAAGUCAGCGGUAAAAUCGCGGGGCUCAACCCCGCUCCGCCGUUGAAACUGUGUCCCUUGAGUGCGCGAAGGGUAGGCGGAAUGCGUGGUGUAGCGGUGAAAUGCAUAGAUAUCACGCAGAACUCCGAUCGCGAAGGCAGCCUACCGGCGCGCGACUGACGCUCAUGCACGAAAGCGUGGGUAUCGAACAGGAUUAGAUACCCUGGUAGUCCACGCAGUAAACGAUGAAUGCUAUCUGUCCGGCCGGAAUGACGGCUGG
Molecule: ribosomal RNA, 468 nt
Filed under: uncultured bacterium
Lineage: Bacteria
Description: bacterial SSU rRNA
Rfam family: Bacterial small subunit ribosomal RNA
Source: RNAcentral